This 590-nucleotide small RNA is filed under the name Pongo abelii (Sumatran orangutan). RNAcentral describes it as "processed transcript". The record is from RNAcentral. Lineage: Eukaryota; Metazoa; Chordata; Mammalia; Primates; Hominidae.
AUCCGGGUCUUUUGCGUUCUCUUUCCCUCUCCCAACAUGGCGGCCUCAGCAAUACCAGUUUCCAGUGUGAUCCAUUAUUGACCUUCAAGAACUAAGCAAAAAAGAAGAAUAAGAAGGGGAAGACUAUCUCCCUAACAGACUUUCUGGCUGAGGAUGGGGGUACUGGUGGAGGAAGCACCUAUGUUUCCAAACCAGUCAGCUGGGCUGAUGAAACAGAUGACCUGGAAGGAGAUGUUUCAACAACUUGGCACAGUAACGAUGACGAUGUGUAUAGGGCGCCUCCAAUUGACCGUUCCAUCCUUCCCACUGCUCCACGGGCUGCUCGGGAACCCAAUAUCGACCGGAGCCGUCUUCCCAAAUCGCCACCCUACACUGCUUUUCUAGGAAACCUACCCUAUGAUGUUACAGAAGAGUCAAUUAAGGAAUUCUUUCGAGGAUUAAAUAUCAGUGCAGUGCGUUUACCACGUGAACCCAGCAAUCCAGAGAGGUUGAAAGGUUUUGGUUAUGCUGAAUUUGAGGACCUGGAUUCCCUGCUCAGUGCCCUGAGUCUCAAUGAAGAGUCUCUAGGUAACAGGAGAAUUCGAGUGGAC